GACGAACGCUGGCGGCGUGCUUAACACAUGCAAGUCGAACGGAAAGGCCCUGCUUUUUUGGUGUGCUCGAGUGGCGAACGGGUGCGUAACACGUGAGUAACCUACCCUUGCCUUUGGGAUAGCUUCAGGAAGCUGAGGCUAAUACCUGAUAGGAGCUCCCGCAGCAUGGUGGGGGUGGGAAAGUUUCGGCGGUUGGGGAUGAACUCGCGGCUUAUCAGCUGGUUGGUGGGGUAGUGGCUUACCAAGGCUGUGACGGGUAGCCGGCCUGAGAGGGUGACCGGCCACAUUGGGACUGAGAUACGGCCCAGAGUCAUACGGGAGGCAGGGGUGGGGAACAUUGGACAAUGCGCGGCAGCCUGAUUGAGGGACGCCGGGUGCGGGAUGACUGCUUUUGGGUAGUAAACCGCUUCCGGCUGUUACGAAGCGUGAGUGACGGUAACGGAUAAAGAAGCACCGGCUAACUACGUG
This 468-nucleotide ribosomal RNA is filed under the name uncultured bacterium. Its description in RNAcentral is "partial 16S ribosomal RNA". It matches the Rfam family "Bacterial small subunit ribosomal RNA", at positions 28 to 507 of the family's 1533-position model. The record is from RNAcentral.